GUGGCGUAGUUGGUAACGCACGUGCUUUGGGAGCACGAGAUCGUCGGUUCGAGUCCGACC
Molecule: transfer RNA, 60 nt
Filed under: Chloroflexota bacterium
Lineage: Bacteria; Bacillati; Chloroflexota
Description: Chloroflexi bacterium tRNA-Pro
Rfam family: tRNA
About the family: Transfer RNA (tRNA) molecules are approximately 80 nucleotides in length. Their secondary structure includes four short double-helical elements and three loops (D, anti-codon, and T loops).
Source: RNAcentral